Molecule: ribosomal RNA, 484 nt
Filed under: uncultured bacterium
Lineage: Bacteria
Description: partial 16S ribosomal RNA
Rfam family: Bacterial small subunit ribosomal RNA
Source: RNAcentral
AUUGAACGCUGGCGGCAGGCCUAACACAUGCAAGUCGAGCGGAUGAAGGGUGCUUGCUCCUGGAUUCAGCGGCGGACGGGUGAGUAAUGCCUAGGAAUCUGCCUGGUAGUGGUGGAUAACGUCCUGAAACGGGCGCUAAUAUCACAUACGUCCUGAUGGUGAAAGUUGGGGAUCUUCGGACCUCACGCUAUCAGAUGAGCCUAGGUCGGAUUAGCUAGUUUGUGGGGUAAGGGCCUACCUAGGCGACGAUCCGUGAAUGGUCUGUGAGAAUGAUAGGCCACAUUGGAAGUGGGACAGGGUCAAGACGACUGAGGGAGGGCGCAGUGGGGAAUAGUGGGCAAUGGGGGAAAGCAUUACCCAGCCAGGCGGCGUGUGUGAAGAAGGUCCUGCGAUUGGAAAGCACUUUAAGUUGGGAGGAAGCGCAGUAAGUUAAUACCUUGCUGUUUUGACGUUACCAGGAGAAGAAGCACCGGCUAACUUCGUG